This 478-nucleotide ribosomal RNA is filed under the name Blastocystis sp. RNAcentral describes it as "SSU rRNA". It matches the Rfam family "Eukaryotic small subunit ribosomal RNA", at positions 460 to 953 of the family's 1831-position model. The record is from RNAcentral. Lineage: Eukaryota; Bigyra; Opalinata; Blastocystidae.
GGAGGUAGUGACAAUAAAUCACAAUGCGGGACUAUUUAGUUUUGCAAUUGAAUUGAGAACAAUGUACAAGAGUUAUCGAUAAACAAUUGGAGGGCAAGUCUGGUGCCAGCAGCCGCGGUAAUUCCAGCUCCAAUAGCGUAUAUUAACGUUGUUGCAGUUAAAAAGCUCGUAGUUGAAGUGUGGGAUAAUGUAUAUUGGAUCUUUUAGUGAAGAUAUAUGUUGUCCCCCCUCCAAUUUCGGACUGUGGGUAUUAAUUUACUUGCAGUUCGUGUUGGUCAUUUACUGUGAGAAAAUUAGAGUGUUCAAAGCAGGCAUUUGCUUGAAUAUAUUAGCAUGGAAUAAUAAUAAAAGGCUUGUAUGGUCGAUUUAAUUGGUUUGUUCAUAUAAGCAAGAUUAAUAGGGACAGUCGGGGGUAUUCAUAUUCAAUAGUUAGAGGUGAAAUUCUCGGAUUUAUGGAAGAUGAACAAGUGCGAAAGCA